ACCUAGUUUUGCUCGACACCAUUUGCCCUUACUAAACUAUCUAUCUAACAAGCUGUAGUCUGCAAUAAUUGUUGCUUUUCGUCUCUGUUGAUUCAACGCCUUGAAUGUCGAGAUGAAUCACACUGAAGUUCUUGCUCUUUGCAUAAAUGAUGCUUGAUGGUGGUAUGGCUAUGUCAUUUUAUGCAUUGAAUUGCCCAGCAGGUGUUCGACGAAAUGCCAAUGAGAGCGUUUUUCGGUUUAGAAGGAGAUUAAACCAGUAUUUAUCUGUACAGAUCUUCUCUGUUAUUCAAACUGAUGAGAAUGACAACUUAGCAGCAUCCAAGAAGAUGUCGAGUUCGGGAAAAUCUCUGUUGAAAACUCGAACUCUUAAGCCCCUUCUUGUCCAGCCAAAUACUGUGGGUGUCAUAGGGGGAGUGUCGGUUUUUUCCACUCUACUUUUCAUGGAAAAGCUCGUUUGGUGGAGUAGGAAGGAUGGAGAAGAGAGCAUACCUUUUGUUGUCUGCAGCGAUCCAGUAUUAGACAAGGGAAUUCCUCAUAGUGAUGCCAUGAUCAUCGAGAAUUUGAAGCAGAAAACGGCGUUUCUCGAGCAGUCGGGAGCUCGAUGUCUAAUCACACCUUGCCAUCUUUCACAUAGGUGGCUUGGUGACACAUCUGAGAGCUCCAAAUUACCUUUCCUUCACGUCGGAGAUUGUGUAGCUAGUGAGCUUAAUGAGGCUAAGCUUAAGCAACUUGAAGCAGGUAGCAAUGUCCGGAUUGGCUUGCUUGCAACUGAUACAGCAACACUAACUGGUUUUUACCACGAGAGGCUACAAAAGCAGGGCUUUGAUGUCGUCGUGCCGGACAAGGCAACCAUGGAGCAUAUAGUAAUUCCUGCAGUGGAAGCUUUCCAUAAAAGGGAUCAUGAAGGAGCAAGAAAUCUGUUGAGAAUUGCCGUUCAUGUGCUAUUGACAAGGGCUGUGAAUAUGACAGAAAAUGGACUCUGCUGAGCGGAGUGGAAAGGCCAUGUAUCUCGAUGCAUUUGAAGACUGGAACUCUAGACCUUGGAACUUUGUUCAUCACGAAUCGUCGAUGAUUAAGUUUGUUUACGAGGCGAUGGAGGCGACUCUCGCUUUUCCACUGAGAUUGAAGGUGUUGGGACGAAAAUCGAAAGCGGGAAAGUAAUGGCAAACCCAGUCUCCAGAUUUCCAUCCAGGUGGGAUGCUUGCAUCAGAUCCAUACUGAUCGGAACCCAUCAUGUAGGCGCCAUAAUCACCGGGAUAGACGGACUUAAAUGCACCACAUCUAAAGCAGUUCGGGCGGCUGGCGUAAUUGUGAGCUCCGCAGCUGACGGCGGUGCAGUACCAGUCUCCGGCCAACACCUCCGUCUUGUUGUAACUGUAAGUUGAAGGGUCUGGGCCUCCAUACUUGGGAAAAGGUUUGGCCCGAGGGGCAGCCCGGUUGGUAAGAGCUUGGAGUCUCGUAGGCAUACUGGCUUAGAUAUCCCAAAUUUGAAUCUUCAGGUGAGCUUAAUACUAGAUUUCUUUUAUGUUUCUUUUGUUCGGGGCUUGCGUUGGGCGUAGCUGCCCCCUAUUAUCUAUAAUAUACAUAUAUAUCUUAUUGAAAACUUCACAUGGUAGAUUAAUUUCUUUAAGAAAUACAAAUCUAUUCAGAAAGGUACAUUUCAUUCCUAGAAAAACAGACAUCUCGUGCAAUCAUAUGAGUAUUUUAAAUCAUUAUUCCAGUUCUUGUGCUUUUGUUUGUAGGGUAAUAACUUUUCUCAAAAGUAUUCCGCGUUUACUCUAGACUAAUGCCUUACUUUGUAUCUUGAGAUACCCUAGAAGACAAGCCAAAAUUUGUCACUGAUAAAUUGAUUCCAUUUUUCACUUUUGAAGUAUAUAUAGGUUUGAAUAUAGUUUUAGCCCUAAUGGCUUAAUGAAAACCAAGUUUAAAUUUUGCUAUCUAUAUUGUUCAACUCCAUUACUUGAAUACUUUUGGUCUUUUAAUAUUAUUAAUUCUAGUUUAAAUCAUGUUGGAUAACUAUUUAGUUCUUGAAAACUAGGCUUGUAAACACUAUUUCUACGUAUUAGUUUCCAAGCUGUCUAAUAAUAGGUAGAUUAUGGUUGACAAAAGAGAUGCUAUAUAGAAGAUGAAUAUGGUUAGAACAUACGUCCAAAAAAUUGGACAACAAUUAUAUACUAGGAAUUAUAGAUAGAGUUUAGAUACGUGAGAUUUGAACAUUUGGCUUCGUGAUCGAGAUUAUGAAAAAAAAAAAGGGUUUGGGAGUUGGGACAGGGGGUUUUAGUAGGAAGUGGUAGCUAGGUGAGAUGCCCUUGAGUUGGGUGGACUUUGUUUGCUCCAACUUGGCCAAAUAAGCCUUCCCCAUGUACUUUCAUUAUGUGGAUCAAACCCUUUCACAAAAGAAGGGGUUAAAUAAAACACAAAACAACUGAAACAAAAAGUUCAUUGUGUUAUUAUUGUUAUAUAAUUGCCUCUCUUUCCCCCAUUGGAAUCUAUUCCUGUUAAGUGCACAUCCAUCAGCCUCCCAAAUUCCCUUUCCCUUCAAUAAUGCAACAAAAAGAUGGGCACUUCUUAGAUUCAUCAUCCCAUUUCACCUCCUCCUGCUGCCUUUCUUCUGGCCCUCCCAUUGCUCAAUUUAUAUGCAUGCACAUAUGCUAUUUCUAUCUCCACUUUCUUUUUCAGGUGGGGUUCAAGUGAUUUGAAUGUCUAUCGAGGAUAUAUGCCUAAAUUAGUCGAGACACUCGAGUAAAUGAGAGAUAUAUGAAUGAGCCGAGACCAUAUCUGAAUGAGAGUAAUCACGAGGAUAGAUAGCUAAGAAAGGCUUAAAAGAACGAAAGUUACUACCUAUAUCAACAAUGUUCACUUUCCUUUUCGGUGGUGCAAUCAUAAGAAAUCUAAGGUUAAACGUG
Molecule: RNA transcript, 2906 nt
Organism: Cucurbita maxima (winter squash)
Lineage: Eukaryota; Viridiplantae; Streptophyta; Magnoliopsida; Cucurbitales; Cucurbitaceae
Exons: 6
Source: RefSeq, a predicted model, not a curated record